UAAGACAGAGGUGCCAAGCGUUAGGCGGAAUCACUGGGCUUAAAGCGUGUGUAGGCGGAUCGUUAAGUACCUUGUGAAAUCCCACGGCUCAACCGUGGAACUGCUGGGUAUACUGGCGAUCUUGAGCCACCUAGGGGCGAGCGGAACAAGCGGUGGAGCGGUGAAAUGCGUAGAUAUCGCUUGGAACGCCAAUGGUGAAAACAGCUCGCUGGGGGUGU
Molecule: ribosomal RNA, 218 nt
Filed under: uncultured bacterium
Lineage: Bacteria
Description: partial 16S ribosomal RNA
Rfam family: Bacterial small subunit ribosomal RNA
Source: RNAcentral